Molecule: transfer RNA, 72 nt
Filed under: Urocitellus parryii (Arctic ground squirrel)
Lineage: Eukaryota; Metazoa; Chordata; Mammalia; Rodentia; Sciuridae
Also listed under: 1 other name
Description: Spermophilus parryii (Arctic ground squirrel) tRNA
Rfam family: tRNA
About the family: Transfer RNA (tRNA) molecules are approximately 80 nucleotides in length.
Source: Rfam by way of RNAcentral
GGGGAUAUAGCUCAGUAGUAGAGCAGUUGCCUAGAAAGCAUGAGGCCCUGGAUUUAAUCCCCAGUACCACAA